UACGAAGGGGGCUAGCGUUGCUCGGAAUCACUGGGCGUAAAGGGUGCGUAGGCGGGUCUUUAAGUUAGAGGUGAAAGCCCGGGGCUCAACUCCGGAAUUGCCUUUAAAACUGCAUCGCUAGAAUUGUGGAGAGGUAAGUGGAAUUCCGAGUGUAGAGGUGAAAUUCGUAGAUAUUCGGAAGAACACCAGUGGCGAAGGCGACUUACUGGACACAUAUUGACGCUGAGGUGCGAAAGCGUGGGGAGCAAACAGG
This 253-nucleotide ribosomal RNA is filed under the name uncultured bacterium. RNAcentral describes it as "partial 16S ribosomal RNA". It matches the Rfam family "Bacterial small subunit ribosomal RNA", at positions 524 to 776 of the family's 1533-position model. The record is from RNAcentral.